UCCAGGUUCAGUACUAAAAAAAAAAAAAAGGUACCUUAACAAUAAAUUCUUGUUUGACAGUGAUAUCUUGAACUAACAAAGAUGGCUGGCACAGGCAGACCGACUGAUACGACAUUUCUGCAAUGCGGUUGUAACUCUGCUAGAGCUGUGGCAAUCCGGUGGAAACAUCCAGCAGCAAUUCAGAGGAAAAGCUCUUCACUGGAUCAUGAGAGAUCUGCACACAGGUUUGGUCUGGCUGCCCUUUCGAGGCCGUAACGAAUCCAUUGUAUCUACCACUGACCGCUUUUUAUCCUGAAUUUUCUGGUGAGAUCAGCGGAUUUAGCUGUUCCUUCUGGUUGGCUGUUCUGAAGCUGCGUGAGCGCUGCACAGGGGAAAGUGC
RNAcentral lists this long non-coding RNA (379 nucleotides) under Dromaius novaehollandiae (emu). RNAcentral's name for it is "lncRNA (ENSDNVG00000014317.1)". The record is from RNAcentral. Lineage: Eukaryota; Metazoa; Chordata; Aves; Casuariiformes; Dromaiidae.